AGAAACUGCAUUCCUGCUGAGGCGAAUUCUGUGGCAGUUCAACAGAUGAGCAACUUCCCGCAGCUUCCUCUGGAAAGAAAGACGCAGUGAUAAUGAACAAAUCAUGGCAGAGAGUAAAAUGUGACCUUCGGGAGAGGAGUGGUGUUAAAGAUGAAGAAAAGAGGAGGAGGGGCGGCCUGAUAGAUGAAACAUC
Molecule: long non-coding RNA, 193 nt
Organism: Thunnus maccoyii (southern bluefin tuna)
Lineage: Eukaryota; Metazoa; Chordata; Actinopteri; Scombriformes; Scombridae
Exons: 3
Source: RefSeq, a predicted model, not a curated record